Long non-coding RNA from Scylla paramamosain (green mud crab), 1146 nucleotides. RefSeq lists it as uncharacterized. The record is from RefSeq and is a predicted model, not a curated record. The transcript is spliced from 4 exons. NCBI's taxonomy places the organism in Eukaryota, Metazoa, Arthropoda, Malacostraca, Decapoda, Portunidae.
UGUAAGUGUAUUUCAAAGAUAUUAUUUACCACAGAAUAAUUAUUCGAACAUGUUUACACCGCGCCAGCCUCUUUCCUGAUCCUGUUUAAAGUUACAGGAUGUGUUAUCUUCUCUUCCUGCACCUGCUAUUGAUUCUGCUCAGAGGAUUCCCAACAAUACCAAUUAUCAGAUACCAACAAGAAUGGACAGUCACCUUGCUAUGUCCAACAGACUCCUCCAGAAGCAAGGAACUGCCAGUCCAGUACAUCACAGGAGGCAUUGCUAUUGGGCGGCAAAAAAAAUUCACCCUUCAGGAAGAUAUUUGACCACAGCCUGCAGAAGAUGUGUGAAUCAGGCCUGAUGAACAAGCUGAGAACCAAAUGGCUAUCAGCAGGAACCUCAACAUGUGGCAGGAAGACUAAAAAUCACGGCCAGCCUCUCUGAUGUGGCUGCAGUCUUCAUCCUCUUGAUAGGUGGUGCAGCAUUUAGCUGUCUGCUGCUGCUGCUACUGCUGGAGUAUGUGGUGGGCAGUGAUGCAUGUGUGAAAUCAUGGCCUGUAUUCUGAAAUGCUCAGCUCUCUCACCAUGACCAUUUUCAGAGGCCACAUAGAUGGGUUCUCAAGGUUUCUCCUGUUGAUAAAUUUGAAAUCUUGUUAAUUUGGCAUUAGACCUGUAUAAGCACUUUUAACGUCUGUGUACCUUCAUCUAGAGCCUUUUGAAAGCAGUGGAGGUAAAGUUUAGAAGACAUAACACUUGAAAGCAACAAUAACCUUCAGUUCUAUCUACCUAGUACAGUAUAUGGACCGGCUGACAAACCCACACAGGGAGGCCAAGGCAAAGCACAUAACAUACCUUAACGAUUGAAAGUCUAACAUAUCCUGCCAUGUACAUAAGAGCAUAAGGGAAGCUGCAAGACUACACUAGGCAGGCCCUCUAUAAAGCAUAUUUACCACACUUACAGGUACAACAUGCAAGACAGAGGUGGUGGAUGAUGAGUUCCUGGGGAUUGCUGACCUCAGUGAAGCACAGACAUAACAAGAGACGGGAGACCUACACUGUUAAAGCCUUAAGCAUUCUAAUCACAUUCCAUGUAACUCUCUUCACUCUUAGAUCCCUUAUUGGGUAUUCUUAUGUAUAAUUGCUCACAAAUAUGGAGUUUAGUUAUAAC